UACGUAGGGUGCGAGCGUUGUCCGGAAUUACUGGGCGUAAAGAGCUCGUAGGUGGUUUGUCGCGUUGUUCGUGAAAACUCACAGCUUAACUGUGGGCGUGCGGGCGAUACGGGCAGACUGGAGUACUGCAGGGGAGACUGGAAUUCCUGGUGUAGCGGUGGAAUGCGCAGAUAUCAGGAGGAACACCGGUGGCGAAGGCGGGUCUCGUGGGCAGUGAACUGACGCUGGAGGAGCGAAGGCCAGGGGAGCAAACGGG
RNAcentral lists this ribosomal RNA (256 nucleotides) under uncultured bacterium. Its description in RNAcentral is "partial 16S ribosomal RNA". It matches the Rfam family "Bacterial small subunit ribosomal RNA", at positions 524 to 776 of the family's 1533-position model. The record is from RNAcentral.